ACAAGCGGUGGAGUAUGUGGUUUAAUUCGAUGCAACGCGAAGAACCUUACCUGGUCUUGACAUCCCGGAGACCCUUAGGAAACUAGGGGGUGGCGUUCCAUCUGGAAGAAUCUGGAGACAGGUGCUGCAUGGCUGUCGUCAGCUCGUGUCGUGAGAUGUUGGGUUAAGUCCCGCAACGAGCGCAACCCUUGCCUUUAGUUGCCAGCAGUUCGGCUGGGCACUCUAAAGGGACUGCCGGUGUUAAACCGGAGGAAGGUGGGGAUGACGUCAAGUCCUCAUGGCCUUUAUGACCAGGGCUACACACGUACUACAAUGGCCGAUACAAAGGGCAGCGACACUGCGAGGUGAAGCCAAUCCCGUAAAAUCGGUCUCAGUCCGGAUUGGAGUCUGCAACUCGACUCCAUGAAGUUGGAAUCGCUAGUAAUCGUGGAUCAGCAUGCCACGGUGAAUACGUUCCCGGGCCUU
RNAcentral lists this ribosomal RNA (465 nucleotides) under uncultured Desulfobulbus sp. Its description in RNAcentral is "bacterial SSU rRNA". It matches the Rfam family "Bacterial small subunit ribosomal RNA", at positions 925 to 1382 of the family's 1533-position model. The record is from RNAcentral. Lineage: Bacteria; Pseudomonadati; Thermodesulfobacteriota; Desulfobulbia; Desulfobulbales; Desulfobulbaceae.